GUUUUAGCCUCUUGUCCACUUAACCUAAUUCUGUCUGAGCUUUUUCCACAUUACAUCAGUCAAAGUUCUUUGAGACUGUGUACGCAGCCUGACUGUUUUUUUCGUGCACUUUCUGAAAGAAAUCAAGUCCUCAACUGUCUUUUUGUACAUAUUGUUUAGGGGGGGGGGGGGGGGGGUGGAAACAGGGAUUGCCUAGAUGCCUCUACUGUUUUUGGGAUCCGAGUCUUAAUGAAUGUUCAAGUUUGUUUCAUUGUAAAUGCAGAGGUUGAGAACACGGCUCUUUGUCUGUAAAUAUGCAUCGGGAGCACACAGGUAAAUGGGCGAGGACUGAGGACAAUCACUAAUUAUCAAUCACUAAAAUCGAUUCUACAACAUUCCAGAUGCCUUGCAUUCAAAACAUGUCUUAAAGAAGCACAACAGGUUAACAUCAUCCAAUUUGAAGGAAGAGAGUAUAUUUAAAAAAAAGCCCGAUCCCCACAGUUUAAACAAAGACACGCGUGUUGUCUUUCGAGGACUGACGGCUCGGGGGACCCGGUGUUUGAGAAGUCAAUCCAACUUCUGGUUUUAAUAACUGCAUCUUUUUUAACAGCGAUAUACUAUACUCGUUCAGCUAAAAUAACUCAUUGUAACGUUGAAUAAGAACUGUAACCCACACGUAAUUGAGGCUAGUCGGCUAAUCUAGCAUAGGACGAACCAGGUUGUCUUUUUUUUUAUUGGGUAUACUAGUGAAAGACAAUGUUUUUAUGUUCACACACAGUGGCUUCAGAUGUUAGUGGUAAUUAGAGCUUCAUGCUGCAAGAGGCUUCUUAAGUACUGCCAACACUGUGAUUAAUAAAGGAGCAGUUUUACAAUAUGACAUUCCAAUAAAUGCAGAAAUGGACAGGGGGAAAGUGGAGUGCUGUGAUGAACUGUUGGGACGUGGGUUUGACUUGGUACAGAAAUGACAUCAUGAAAUAUUCAAUAUA
Long non-coding RNA from Gasterosteus aculeatus aculeatus (three-spined stickleback), 965 nucleotides. The record is from Ensembl. NCBI's taxonomy places the organism in Eukaryota, Metazoa, Chordata, Actinopteri, Perciformes, Gasterosteidae.